Molecule: ribosomal RNA, 517 nt
Filed under: uncultured bacterium
Lineage: Bacteria
Description: partial 16S ribosomal RNA
Rfam family: Bacterial small subunit ribosomal RNA
Source: RNAcentral
UGGGGAAUAUUGCACAAUGGGCGAAAGCCUGAUGCAGCAACGCCGCGUGAGUGAUGAAGGUCUUCGGAUUGUAAAGCUCUGUCUUUUGGGACGAUAAUGACGGUACCAAAGGAGGAAGCCACGGCUAACUACGUGCCAGCAGCCGCGGUAAUACGUAGGUGGCGAGCGUUGUCCGGAUUUACUGGGCGUAAAGGGUGCGUAGGCGGAUGUUUAAGUGAGAUGUGAAAUACCCGGGCUUAACUUGGGUGCUGCAUUUCAAACUGGAUAUCUAGAGUGCAGGAGAGGAGAAUGGAAUUCCUAGUGUAGCGGUGAAAUGCGUAGAGAUUAGGAAGAACACCAGUGGCGAAGGCGAUUCUCUGGACUGUAACUGACGCUGAGGCACGAAAGCGUGGGUAGCAAACAGGAUUAGAUACCCUGGUAGUCCACGCCGUAAAACGAUGAGUACUAGGUGUAGGAGGUAUCGACCCCUUCUGUGCCGCAGUAAAACACAUUAAGUACUCCGCCUGGGAAGUACGAU